GGGGUUGUAGCUCAGGGGUAGAGCUCUUGCCUUCCAUGUGUGACCCUGUGUUCAAUCCUCAGCACCCCA
Non-coding RNA from Ictidomys tridecemlineatus (thirteen-lined ground squirrel), 69 nucleotides. The record is from Rfam. Lineage: Eukaryota; Metazoa; Chordata; Mammalia; Rodentia; Sciuridae.